GGUCAAAGUAUAUAAGAGUCUAUGGUGGAUGCCUAGGAGCU
Molecule: ribosomal RNA, 41 nt
Filed under: Borreliella afzelii
Lineage: Bacteria; Pseudomonadati; Spirochaetota; Spirochaetia; Spirochaetales; Borreliaceae
Description: partial 23S ribosomal RNA
Source: RNAcentral